GUACACGCUGUGACUAGCAUAUCAAUAAGCGGAGGAAAAGAAACUAACAAGGAUUCCCUCAGUAACGGCGAGUGAAGCGGGAAGAGCUCAAAUUUGAAAUCUUGAAAGGUCACCUUUCACGAAUUGUAGUUUAAAGAAGUGUUUUCUGUUACGAUCGUAAUAUAAGUUCUUUGGAAUAGGACAUCACAGAGGGUGAGAAUCCCGUCUAUGAUUGCGAUUUGUAGCUUUGUGAUACACUUUCAAAGAGUCGGGUUGUUUGGGAAUGCAGCCCAAAACGGGAGGUAAAUUUCUUCUAAGGCUAAAUAUUGGCGAGAGACCGAUAGCGAACAAGUACCGUGAGGGAAAGGAUGAAAAGAACUUUGAAAAGAGAGUUAAAUAGUACGUGAAAUUGUCAAAAGGGAAGCGUUUAACACCAGUGUUGUUUUCUGAAAAUCAACCUCUGUUAGCUUUAUGCAUGUUUGUUUAGACCUAAUCAGCUAUCUUUCAUGUUCUAUUGUUUGCAGUGGUGCACUUUUCAGUUUACAGGUCAACAUCAGUUUUUUUUACCGUAAAAAAGUUAAAGAAAGGUAGCUCAUGGCUCCGGUCGUGAGUGUUAUAGUCUUUUUCCUAUGCGGUAGGAGAGACUGAGGUCUGCGGUGUAGGCUAUUUGGCUAGAUACUCAGGUGCUAUGUGAUACCAUUUCAUAAACAACUUGUUGAUUAUGUUUUGUCUAUUGCAUACUCGCUUGUACUAUCAUACCUACGCUUAGGAUGUUGAGUAGCGACAUACGCAC
This 772-nucleotide ribosomal RNA is filed under the name uncultured Neocallimastigales. Its description in RNAcentral is "partial large subunit ribosomal RNA". The stretch from base 4 to 662 matches the Rfam family "Eukaryotic large subunit ribosomal RNA", at positions 24 to 664 of the family's 3401-position model. The record is from RNAcentral. Lineage: Eukaryota; Fungi; Neocallimastigomycota; Neocallimastigomycetes; Neocallimastigales.